Molecule: ribosomal RNA, 497 nt
Filed under: uncultured bacterium
Lineage: Bacteria
Description: partial 16S ribosomal RNA
Rfam family: Bacterial small subunit ribosomal RNA
Source: RNAcentral
GAUGAACGCUGGCGGCGUGCCUAAUACAUGCAAGUCGAGCGAACAGACGAGGAGCUUGCUCCUCUGACGUUAGCGGCGGACGGGUGAGUAACACGUGGAUAACCUACCUAUAAGACUGGGAUAACUUCGGGAAACCGGAGCUAAUACCGGAUAAUAUAUUGAACCGCAUGGUUCAAUAGUGAAAGACGGUUUUGCUGUCACUUAUAGAUGGAUCCGCGCCGCAUUAGCUAGUUGGUAAGGUAACGGCUUACCAAGGCAACGAUGCGUAGCCGACCUGAGAGGGUGAUCGGCCACACUGGAACUGAGAAACGGUCCAGACUCCUACGGGAGGCAGCAGUAGGGAAUCUUCCGAAAUGGGCGAAAGCCUGACGGAGCAACGCCGCGUGAGUGAUGAAGGUCUUCGGAUCGUAAAACUCUGUUAUUAGGGAAGAACAAAUGUGUAAGUAACUAUGCACGUCUUGACGGUACCUAAUCAGAAAGCCACGGCUAACUACGUG